UCAACAAACAACAAACACAUCAUUAUCAUUAUUACUGCUACUAUUUCUACUACUAACUACUAAUACUACUAUUAACAUCAUUAUUCUGCUUAUUUUCAUUCUUUUUCAAAUAAUGCAAGAAUGAAAUAGAAUGAAUGAAUGAAUGAUGUUUAAUAGAUUAAUAGAUGAAUAGUUAGUUGUAGUUAGUAGUUAGUUAGAUAGAUAGAUAAAUGAAAUGAUGAUGAUAAGCGAAUGUAUUUAUUCAUAUGAAUUGAAUAUAAACGGUGAUAUUCGUUGGUGUCUAUAUUUUAUCUAAGUUAUCGCCUAACCGUCGAUAGCGAUGAAGAUAAAAUGAUAGCUUAAUUGAUGAUGAUAGCUCAAUUAAGUAGACUUAAUAAGCAUUUUAGCUAGUAUGCUACCAACAAAAUAAUACACACACACAUACAAUAAUACGAUAUAAUUGUUAUUUAUAAUAAUUUUUCAA
This 463-nucleotide unclassified non-coding RNA is filed under the name Dirofilaria immitis (dog heartworm nematode). RNAcentral describes it as "ITS1". Lineage: Eukaryota; Metazoa; Nematoda; Chromadorea; Rhabditida; Onchocercidae. The record is from RNAcentral.